RNAcentral lists this unclassified non-coding RNA (282 nucleotides) under Hevea brasiliensis (rubber tree). Lineage: Eukaryota; Viridiplantae; Streptophyta; Magnoliopsida; Malpighiales; Euphorbiaceae. The record is from RNAcentral.
AUCAAGAGCUUGUGAAUGCACCAUCAUCUGCUGUAGCUGCACCAGCUGCGAAGGGCAAGGUCGCACAAGUGGAAACAACUGGGAAUGAUGACAGUGGGAUAGAUAGUGAAUUACAGGCAAGGUUAGAUAAUUUAAGAAGGAUGUAAUCUUGUUACACUUGUAAAAUAAUUAAAUCAACACAACUGUGAAAGGAUCAUUAGUUUGGGCUGUGUAGCAUGGGUGAAAAUUGUCCCAGGAUUUAACUCCUGGUUUUGGGGAGAAGUGGAAGUUGUAUGAAGUAUU